AACGAACGCUGGCGGCAGGCUUAACACAUGCAAGUCGAACGCCCCGCAAGGGGAGUGGCAGACGGGUGAGUAACGCGUGGGAACAUACCCUUUUCUACGGAAUAGCUCUGGGAAACUGGAAUUAAUACCGUAUACGCCCUACGGGGGAAAGAUUUAUCGGGGAAGGAUUGGCCCGCGUUGGAUUAGCUAGUUGGUGGGGUAAAGGCCUACCAAGGCGACGAUCCAUAGCUGGUCUGAGAGGAUGAUCAGCCACAUUGGGCCUGAGACACGGCCCAAACUCCUACGGGAGGCAGCAGUGGGGAAUAUUGGACAAUGGGCGCAAGCCUGAUCCAGCCAUGCCGCGUGAGUGAUGAAGGCCUUAGGGUUGUAAAGCUCUUUCACCGAUGAAGAUAAUGACGGUAGUCGGAGAAGAAGCCCCGGCUAACUUCGUG
RNAcentral lists this ribosomal RNA (431 nucleotides) under uncultured bacterium. RNAcentral's name for it is "partial 16S ribosomal RNA". It matches the Rfam family "Bacterial small subunit ribosomal RNA", at positions 29 to 507 of the family's 1533-position model. The record is from RNAcentral.